GAGGUGGUUGCUCAGUGGUAGAGUGCAUGCUUUGUGUGUAGAAUGUCCCGGGUUCGAUCCCCAGCUUCUACC
Dallia pectoralis (Alaska blackfish) is the source of this 72-nucleotide non-coding RNA. NCBI's taxonomy places the organism in Eukaryota, Metazoa, Chordata, Actinopteri, Esociformes, Umbridae. The record is from the annotation of a GenBank genome assembly.